Molecule: non-coding RNA, 25 nt
Filed under: Mus musculus (house mouse)
Lineage: Eukaryota; Metazoa; Chordata; Mammalia; Rodentia; Muridae
Source: RNAcentral
AGACAGAAGCACGUGUAAAAGCCAC